RNAcentral lists this ribosomal RNA (512 nucleotides) under Zeugodacus calumniatus. Its description in RNAcentral is "partial 16S ribosomal RNA". It matches the Rfam family "Bacterial large subunit ribosomal RNA", at positions 1829 to 2597 of the family's 2925-position model. The record is from RNAcentral. Lineage: Eukaryota; Metazoa; Arthropoda; Insecta; Diptera; Tephritidae.
GUCUUUUUGAGUUAUUUUUAAAGUCUGACCUGCCCACUGAAAUUUUUAAAUGGCCGCAGUAUCCUAACUGUGCAAAGGUAGCAUAAUCAUUAGUCUUUUAAUUGAAGGCUGGUAUGAACGGUUGGACGAGGUAUAAGCUGUUUCAUAUAAAUUUAUAAUAGAAUUUUAUAUUUUAGUCAAAAAGCUAAAAUAUUAUUAAAAGACGAGAAGACCCUAUAAAUCUUUAUAUUUUUUUUUAUUUAAAUUUUUUGGAUUUAUUUUAUUUUUAUAAUAGAAAAUAUUUUGUUGGGGUGAUGUUAAAAUUUAAUGAACUUUUAAUUAUAAAAAAUCAUUAAUUUAUGAGUUACUGAUCCAUUAUUAGUGAUUAUAAGAUUAAGUUACUUUAGGGAUAACAGCGUAAUUUUUUUGGAGAGUUCAUAUCGAUAAAAAAGUUUGCGACCUCGAUGUUGGAUUAAGAUAUAAUUUUAGGUGUAGCCGCUUAAAUGUUAAGUCUGUUCGACUUUUAAAUUCUU